RNAcentral lists this ribosomal RNA (259 nucleotides) under uncultured Staphylococcus sp. RNAcentral describes it as "partial 16S ribosomal RNA". It matches the Rfam family "Bacterial small subunit ribosomal RNA", at positions 103 to 355 of the family's 1533-position model. Lineage: Bacteria; Bacillati; Bacillota; Bacilli; Caryophanales; Staphylococcaceae. The record is from RNAcentral.
CGGGCGAGUAACACGUGGAUAACCUACCUAUAAGACUGGGAUAACUUCGGGAAACCGGAGCUAAUACCGGAUAAUAUAUUGAACCGCAUGGUUCAAUAGUGAAAGACGGUUUUGCUGUCACUUAUAGAUGGAUCCGCGCUGCAUUAGCUAGUUGGUAAGGUAACGGCUUACCAAGGCAACGAUGCGUAGCCGACCUGAGAGGGUGAUCGGCCACACUGGAACUGAGACACGGUCCAGACUCCUACGGGAAGCAGCAGCC